CCUACGGGAGGCAGCAGUGGGGAAUAUUGGACAAUGGGCGAAAGCCUGAUCCAGCCAUGCCGCGUGUGUGAAGAAGGUCUUCGGAUUGUAAAGCACUUUAAGUUGGGAGGAAGGGCAGUAAGUUAAUACCUUGCUGUUUUGACGUUACCGACAGAAUAAGCACCGGCUAACUCUGUGCCAGCAGCCGCG
RNAcentral lists this ribosomal RNA (189 nucleotides) under bacterium enrichment culture clone petrobio2. RNAcentral's name for it is "partial 16S ribosomal RNA". It matches the Rfam family "Bacterial small subunit ribosomal RNA", at positions 338 to 519 of the family's 1533-position model. The record is from RNAcentral.